CUGGACAGGAGGGCCUUGAUCCCACAAUUAAACCUAGUUAACAGCUAGGCACCCUAGCCAGCGGGCUUCUGUCCG
Molecule: transfer RNA, 75 nt
Filed under: Basiliscus plumifrons
Lineage: Eukaryota; Metazoa; Chordata; Lepidosauria; Squamata; Corytophanidae
Description: tRNA-Asn
Source: RNAcentral